UGCUGCUGUUAAAAAGCUCGUAGUUGGAUCAAGAGUUCCACAGUGCACGGUGGCCCUGGUUGUCGAGGUGGAUCCGUUCACCGAGACGCCAGUGGAUCAACCCUGUGCGCCAAACUGUGGUCUCUAAUCGACCGAAGCGGUUCCCUGUGAGUAGGCUCCUUCAUUGGGGCUGAAAGCGAUUACGCAUCAACCAUAUGCAUACGGGACGUCGGUCAAUGUUACUGUGAACAAACCAGCGUGUCCAAAACAGGCUUUCGCCCGAAUGUUCGAGCAUGGAAUAACAAGGGAUCGAUUCUCUCGGUUCUUUUUGUUGGUUUUUAACCCGAGAAGGAGUAAUUCAGGCCACGGUGUCUGAGUUGGGUUCCCCUUCACCUCGGUGAAGGCCCCAAUUAGGCCGUGUCCUUACGGGAUAAAUAGGGACUGACGGGGUCGUACGUACUUCUACGUCAGAGGUGAAAUUCUUAGAUCGUGGGAAGACGAACUUCUGCGAAAGCAUUCGACAAGAAUGUCUUCAUUAAUCAAGAACGAGAGUGUGGGGAUC
This 541-nucleotide ribosomal RNA is filed under the name uncultured marine eukaryote. RNAcentral's name for it is "bacterial SSU rRNA". It matches the Rfam family "Eukaryotic small subunit ribosomal RNA", at positions 611 to 999 of the family's 1831-position model. The record is from RNAcentral.